GCAGGACUCUCGUCGUCUCCUUCACAUCUGCUUUCUUUGCAUCCAUUCCAGAGCUCUCUAGUCAAAGACAUGGACGGCUUUCUUGGAAAAUUCCUCUUCGUGGUGGUUGCUGUCACACUCGCUACGCUGAUUAUGGCCCCAAAUGAAGCUGGGGCAAUUCCACCGUAUGUCAUCGACGCCAUGGGACGAAAUGAAGAACAUGUCGAGUAGCGAAGCAUCAGUGUGGCUGAUUUGCGUUCCACUAGUUACGCCUGCUUCGUAAUUCGUAACUGAAUAAAAUGAAUGAAGGGAAAAAUUGCUUGGAGUGAAUGAGCAACGGUAUAUCAUUGGAGACAAACUUUCCCUUCUAUGCCAAGGUCACUUUUUUAAACUUCUGUUUAUGUAAUCGCUCUUUGAAGCGCUGCUAUGCACACAUCUUUUAUUCUGUUCCGGCGUCGCAUUGCGAAAGAGGCUUUCUUUCUUACAUUAUUCCGCGCUAUAGUUUGAUUUGACUUUCAAAUCUUCUCUUUGUACAUACGUGUUUUGCACAUUAUUACACAAGCCGCAGCGUCCUCGCAUUGCAUUAUACCUGAAGUGAAAUUAAAAAAAAAAAAAAAACGUCUCUGCAUCGCAUGCGCGUGUGAGUUACGUUGCUAAGCGAAUAACUUUUCUUAACGCUUUGCUAACUGUAUUCGCUAUUACACAGCUAGACGCUUCUCGUUCAAUGCAUGGUCUGAUUUAACUUUUCACAAAUAACAUCUUUAUACUCGGGUGCUUCGGUUACACACUUCGCUUCUCUAUAGCCGACUACUUGUUUGGGCUAGUUGGUUACAAUUCAUGAUCGAUGUUAUUUGCGCACCACUUGGAACGAACACUGGGAGAACUGGAACAUUGCGCUUGUGUCUCCCG
Long non-coding RNA from Dermacentor andersoni, 888 nucleotides. RefSeq lists it as uncharacterized. NCBI's taxonomy places the organism in Eukaryota, Metazoa, Arthropoda, Arachnida, Ixodida, Ixodidae. The record is from RefSeq and is a predicted model, not a curated record.